GUCCACGCCGUAAACGAUGGAUACUAGCUGUUGGGCGCAAGUUCAGUGGUUAAGCGAAAGUGAUAAGUAUCCCACCUGGGGAGUACGAACGCAAGUUUGAAACUCAAAGGAAUUGACGGGGCCCGCACAAGCGGUGGAGCAUGUGGUUUAAUUCGAUGAUACGCGAGGAACCUUACCAAGGCUUAAAUGUAGAUUGACCGUUUUGGAAACAGAACUUUCGCAAGACAAUUUACAAGGUGCUGCAUGGUUGUCGU
Molecule: ribosomal RNA, 254 nt
Filed under: uncultured bacterium
Lineage: Bacteria
Description: partial 16S ribosomal RNA
Rfam family: Bacterial small subunit ribosomal RNA
Source: RNAcentral